Molecule: long non-coding RNA, 272 nt
Filed under: Chinchilla lanigera (long-tailed chinchilla)
Lineage: Eukaryota; Metazoa; Chordata; Mammalia; Rodentia; Chinchillidae
Description: lncRNA (ENSCLAG00000028184.1)
Source: RNAcentral
GCUAUGGAUACGAAAGACAUCACAAAGGGUGGGACACUGUGAAUGGUAAGGAGGAAUUAGAGAAUACACUAAGCUCUUAAGAACUUUGGAGAAUAGUAACAUCUUGGGCAGAAAUAAAGAAGUCAGAAUAAACAAGCCUUUGACGGAUGAAAUCAUCACAUUGAUGCAGGAUUCUCUCCAUCUAGUGCUGAGAUCUGCAGCAGGUAAGGUUUACAAGUCAAAUUGCUCAGAAGUCCCUACAAUAGGAUGGAGCUUACACACUGCGAACUCCU